Molecule: small nuclear RNA, 144 nt
Organism: Molossus molossus (Pallas's mastiff bat)
Lineage: Eukaryota; Metazoa; Chordata; Mammalia; Chiroptera; Molossidae
Product: U4 spliceosomal RNA
Exons: 1
Source: RefSeq, a predicted model, not a curated record
AGCUUUGCGCAGUGUCAGUAUUGUAGCCAAUGAGGUUUAUCCAAGGCCUGAUUAUUGCUAAUUGAAAAAAAUAAAGGCAAAAUACAUUUUAAAUGCAUAUGCUGAAUUAAUGCAUUAGAAACUAUGUGGAUAAUAUAAAAACAU